This 895-nucleotide unclassified non-coding RNA is filed under the name uncultured soil eukaryote. Its description in RNAcentral is "sequence contains 5.8S rRNA gene, ITS2, 28S rRNA gene". The stretch from base 471 to 895 matches the Rfam family "Eukaryotic large subunit ribosomal RNA", at positions 1 to 418 of the family's 3401-position model. The record is from RNAcentral.
CAUUCUAAGCGGUGGAUCACUAGGCUCGUGGGUCGAUGAAGAACGGGGCCAGCCCCGAGAAUAAGUGCGAAUUGCAGACACAAAGAACAUUGAUACUUCGAACGCAUAUUGCGGUAUCGGGCCAGCUCGAUACCACGCCUGUCUGAGGGUCGAAUUUGCGUAAGAAUUCGUCGUCGUCGUCGUCGUUAGAGCGCCGAUCGCGCUCUAAGGACGACUGAGCAAAUGUUCGUAUAGACUACUGUCUAAUGCGAAUUAAAGAGAGCUAUGUAGAAGACCGCGAACGUAAAGGUCUCGAUUACCGAGUUGUAAAACGUACGCGAACGCGUAGCCGAAUGAUAAUCGAACGAGCGCCUACUAGGUCGAACUAGGCUAAGGCAUGAAUCGAAACGCCUAGUCUACGUUCUCGAUUCGCCUAGUAGUCGUCGUCGUCGAUCGGUGAAUCACGCGCGCGCGUAUCGUUCUCGUUUAUUCGACCUCAAAUUAGACGUGAUUACCCGCUGAAUUUAAGCAUAUAACUAGGCGGUGGAAAAGAAAUUAACUAAGAUUUCCUUAGUAACGGCGAGUGAAAAGGAACGUUCGAGUUCAGCGCUGAAUCCUCGAGCCUUUGGCUUUAAGGACCUGUAGCGUUAAGGAGAGCCUAUCCGUCGGUACGUUCGCUUCGUAAGCGCCCUUGAACGGGACCCCGAAGAAGGUGCGAGGCCUGUACCGAAGCGACGUCCGUCAGUUUGCGCCUCCGUAGAGUCGGGUUGCUUGAGAGUGCAGCCCUAAGCGGAAGGUAAACCCCUUCUAAAGCUAAAUAUGACCACGAGACCGAUAGCGAACAAGUACCGCGAGGGAAAGUUGAAAAGAACUUUGAAGAGAGAGUUCAAGAGGGCGUGAAACCGCUUAGAAGAAA